This 443-nucleotide ribosomal RNA is filed under the name uncultured bacterium. RNAcentral describes it as "bacterial SSU rRNA". It matches the Rfam family "Bacterial small subunit ribosomal RNA", at positions 331 to 791 of the family's 1533-position model. The record is from RNAcentral.
CCAGACUCCUACGGGAGGCAGCAGUGGGGAAUAUUGCACAAUGGGGGGAACCCUGAUGCAGCGACGCCGCGUGAGUGAAGAAGUAUUUCGGUAUGUAAAGCUCUAUCAGCAGGGAAGAAAAUGACGGUACCUGACUAAGAAGCCCCGGCUGACUACGUGCCAGCAGCCGCGGUAAUACGUGGGGGGCAAGCGUUAUCCGGAUUUACUGGGUGUAAAGGGAGCGUAGACGGUUAUGCAAGUCUGAAGUGAAAGCCCAAGGCUCAACCAUGGGACUGCUUUGAAAACUGUACAGCUAGAGUGCAGGAGAGGCAGGCGGAAUUCCUAGUGUAGCGGUGAAAUGCGUAGAUAUUAGGAGGAACACCGGUGGCGAAGGCGGCCUGCUGGACUGUAACUGACGUUGAGGCUCGAAAGCGUGGGGAGCAAACAGGAUUAGAUACCCCUCC